AUUGAACGCUGGCGGCAUGCUUUGCACAUGCAAGUCGAACGGUAACAGGCCGCAAGGUGCUGACGAGUGGCGAACGGGUGAGUAAUGCAUCGGAACGUGCCCAGUCGUGGGGGAUAACUAUCCGAAAGGAUAGCUAAUACCGCAUACGAUCUGCGGAUGAAAGCGGGGGACCUUCGGGCCUCGCGCGAUUGGAGCGGCCGAUGUCAGGUUAGGUAGUUGGUGGGGUAAAGGCUCACCAAGCCAACGAUCUGUAGCUGGGCUGAGAGGACGACCAGCCACACUGGGACUGAGACACGGCCCAGACUCCUACGGGAGGCAGCAGUGGGGAAUUUUGGACAAUGGGCGCAAGCCUGAUCCAGCAAUGCCGCGUGCAGGAAGAAGGCCUUCGGGUUGUAAACUGCUUUUGUACGGAACGAAACGGCUCUGGUUAAUACCUGGGGCUAAUGACGGUACCGUAAGAAUAAGCACCGGCUAACUACGUGCCAGCAGCCGCAGUAA
This 498-nucleotide ribosomal RNA is filed under the name uncultured bacterium. Its description in RNAcentral is "partial 16S ribosomal RNA". It matches the Rfam family "Bacterial small subunit ribosomal RNA", at positions 30 to 523 of the family's 1533-position model. The record is from RNAcentral.